AUUGAACGCUGGCGGAAUGCUUUACACAUGCAAGUCGAACGGCAGCACGGACUUCGGUCUGGUGGCGAGUGGCGAACGGGUGAGUAAUGUAUCGGAACGUGCCCAGUCGUGGGGGAUAACGUAGUGAAAAUUACGCUAAUACAGCAUACGAUCUAUGGAUGAAAGCGGGGGAUCGCAAGACCUCGCGCGAUUGGAGCGGGCGAUAUCAGAUUAGGUAGUUGGUGGGGUAAAGGCCCACCAAGCCAACGAUCUGUAGCUGGUCUGAGAGGACGACCAGCCACACUGGAACUGAGACACGGUCCAGACUCCUACGGGAGGCAGCAGUGGGGAAUUUUGGACAAUGGGCGAAAGCCUGAUCCAGCCAUUCCGCGUGCAGGAUGAAGGCCCUCGGGUUGUAAACUGCUUUUGUACAGAACGAAAAGGUUUCUACUAAUACUAGGAGCUCAUGACGGUACUGUAAGAAUAAGCACCGGCUAACUACGUGCCAGCCGCCGCUGUAA
RNAcentral lists this ribosomal RNA (500 nucleotides) under uncultured bacterium. RNAcentral describes it as "partial 16S ribosomal RNA". It matches the Rfam family "Bacterial small subunit ribosomal RNA", at positions 30 to 523 of the family's 1533-position model. The record is from RNAcentral.